CGGCGUUGACUCCAAUUGAACCGCAGGCUUCACCCCUUGUGGUGCUCCCCCGCCAAUUCCUUUAAGUUUCAGCCUUGCGACCGUACUUCCCAGGCGGCAAACUUAACGGCUUCCCUGCGGCACUGCGUUGGCCAUAAGCCAACGCAUCACCGAGUUUGCAUCGUUUACAGCUGGGACUACCCGGGUAUCUAAUCCGGUUUGCUCCCCCAGCUUUCAUCCCUCACCGUCGAACGCGUUCUGGCAGACCGCCUUCGCCACUGGUGGUCCUCGAUGGAUCAGUGGAUUUUACCCCUACCCACCGAAUACCGUCUGCCUCUCCCGCUCCCUAGCUAUGUAGUAUCUCCGGCAGCCCAUCUGUUGAGCAGUUGGAUUUAACCGGAAACUUACAGAACCGGCUACGGAUGCUUUAGGCCCAAUAAACCUCCUGACCACUCGAGGUGCUGGUAUUACCGCGGCGGCUGACACCAGACUUGCCCACCCCUUAUUCGUCUGUGGUUUUACGACUGACAAAAGGUUCCUUUAGCAGGAACCACUCGGAUUAACCUAGUCGUGCUUUCGCACAUUGCUAAGGUUUCUCGCCUGCUGCGCCCCAUAGGGCCUGGGUCCGUGUCUCAGUACCCAUCUCCGGGCUUCUCCUCUCAGAGCCCGUACCUGUUAUAGCCUUGGUGGGCCAUUACCUCACCAACAAGCUGAUAGGCCGCAGUCCCAUCCUAUGGCAAUAAAUUGUUUGAACCAUAAGCCAUUCCAGGCAUCAUGAUCUAUCGUGGUUUAUUCUCAGUUUCCCGAGGUUAUCCACGUCCAUAGGUUAGGUUGACUACGUGUUACUGAGCCGUCCGCCUUGUAUUGCUACAAUGACUCGCAUGGCUUAGUACCAAUCCGAUAGCAGUCAGGUCCGGCAGGAUCAACC
Molecule: ribosomal RNA, 907 nt
Filed under: uncultured archaeon
Lineage: Archaea
Description: 16S ribosomal RNA
Source: RNAcentral